Molecule: long non-coding RNA, 551 nt
Organism: Gopherus flavomarginatus (Mexican gopher tortoise)
Lineage: Eukaryota; Metazoa; Chordata; Testudines; Testudinidae
Exons: 2
Source: RefSeq, a predicted model, not a curated record
AGGAGGCUGCGCGCCGUGGGCUGGCUCUGUGCAGGGAUCUACCGGCCGCUCCCCGCCGGGGCUCUGCUGGGGGAGGUCGGGGGAUCUCCCCCGUUGAGAAUCAGUUAAGAAGCGUGUGACGCGUCCCUCGGUGUAGAAAUGCGUUUGCUGAAAAAGGAUGGGAGCGAGAAAUUUACAUCUUGUCAAAAAAACAGCUGGAAGUUCCUGACUCCACAGACUUUGUCUCCUGAACCCCAGCUGGAGAUGAUUCUCAAAAGAGGAGGAAAAGAUAAAAAUGAGGAACAAACCCCCCCAAAGGAUCUCUCUCCCUUCAUCUCUACUACAGCAUCGACAACACUUGAAAACGGUCAAAAGAAGCAUCAUUAGACAGUGGAGGGAUCGUGGCUGAAAGAUUCAGCCAAUAAGACUGUUAGAACAUGUUGUGAGAGAAACCUUAUGCUUUGAAUUCACUUAACUGUUAAGUUAGGUGUUUUACCUUUUAUUUCUUUGUAACAAAUUCUUUUAUGCCUCAUUACUUGUAAUCACUUAAAAUCUAUGUUUCCAUAGUUAAA